Long non-coding RNA from Micropterus salmoides (largemouth bass), 681 nucleotides. RefSeq lists it as uncharacterized. The record is from RefSeq and is a predicted model, not a curated record. NCBI's taxonomy places the organism in Eukaryota, Metazoa, Chordata, Actinopteri, Centrarchiformes, Centrarchidae. The transcript has 4 exons.
UGUUGUUUCAGCAUCAUCAGAAUUCUAAAUUGGCUCACUGGUAAUCAAGUUUUACCCAGCAACAAGCAGACCAAUAGGAACUGACUCUGCAGCUUGCCUGCUGCUGCGCACUGAGACUUUGCAUGGACGACGCGGUCUUUUCUUCGACGGCCUAACAUUGGUGUACCCUUUUUCCGCUGUUUUCGCAUUUUGCGGGUAUUUCCCCAAUUGAAGACAAAGGUGACGUUACUAACUUCACAGCGGGCCGCCCUUCAGAACAUCUUGCCUUCGACAACGAGGAGAGUUGGUUGACCACUGCCUUUGGUAACAGCCCACUCACUGCCAAGAUGUUCAUGGUUGCAGUGGACCAGGUUAUAAUCACUGAACAGCUUCCCAGCUUUACUAAAGCUUUCCAGAUGAUGUUCUGCUCAUAUUACCUGCACAACAUUGACUAUCCAGUGGAACUUGCAGCUACACUGGAGUUCUGCCAGAGAUAUCUGAUGUUUGAAAGAGUUUUGUUUUGAUUUUGUUUAUUGUAAUGGUAACCGAGUGAAUGAGGCCUGUUUUUGUUGUAUGAUGUUCAUGAUGAAGUUCCUUGAUAUGUCCAGGACUGUAAACAUCCAAGGUCAUUUUAACAAAAAAUGUGCCUUUUCUGCCAAGGCCUUUUGCAUAAAAUAAAGGGUGUUUCUUCCUUCACUGCCA